This 70-nucleotide transfer RNA is filed under the name Lepidogalaxias salamandroides (salamanderfish). RNAcentral's name for it is "tRNA-Pro". It matches the Rfam family "tRNA". From Rfam's summary of the family: Transfer RNA (tRNA) molecules are approximately 80 nucleotides in length. The record is from RNAcentral. Lineage: Eukaryota; Metazoa; Chordata; Actinopteri; Lepidogalaxiiformes.
UCAGAGAGUAGUUAAAUUUAGAAUUUUGGUUUUGGGGACCAAGGGUGAGAGUUAAAAUCUCUUUUCUCUG